Molecule: long non-coding RNA, 683 nt
Organism: Bactrocera neohumeralis
Lineage: Eukaryota; Metazoa; Arthropoda; Insecta; Diptera; Tephritidae
Exons: 3
Source: RefSeq, a predicted model, not a curated record
CUGUCAACACAACUGGUACACUCACCGGAAUGAAAUAUAACGAAAAUAUUUGAUAACAACAACAACUGCUACAGUGGAGUGUGUGUUUUAUUAAUCUGCGUCCUUAUAACAAACGUGACAAACAGUGUAUUUUACCAAAUAUGCAUAGAAUCAAAAGAAGUUCCAAAAUAUAUUGAAUAUAAAAUUUUUGUGGUCUAGAAAACAGCGCAUAUAAUAAUUGAAAAAACGUAUUAAAUUCCGAAACAUAUAAAUCUCAAUUACUUAAAGCCAUUUUGGCAAGUGAUUACUUAAAUCAGAUCUUCAAUUAACGGCAAUAAUCUGCGAAUAAUGUGUGGUACGUGAUUUGAAGGCAAAAGCGAGAAAUGUGCGAAAUAAAGGCGAUGCUUCACGUAAGAAAGCGUUUGCUCAGGAGUGAUAUUAUUAAGUCAAUUUGAAUGUGUCAAUAUAUAUGUUUCAACAAAAGUUAAAGAUGUUAGAGAAGAAUGCAUGCUAAUAAACGCAUAGUUGUAAAAUUUCUAAGGAGACGAAGUGAAAAAUUUAACUAAUUAUAUUACAGUAUAGAAUAUACUUAAGACGACAUCAGCGCAUAUUUAAUUAUACAAUAUAUGUGUACAUACAUUAAUUGGACUGUAUGCAAAUAUACAAAAUAAAUGGUUUCGUAAAUAUUCUUUACGCGUCCUUUU